This is a long non-coding RNA of Monomorium pharaonis (pharaoh ant), 1196 nucleotides long. RefSeq lists it as uncharacterized. The record is from RefSeq and is a predicted model, not a curated record. Lineage: Eukaryota; Metazoa; Arthropoda; Insecta; Hymenoptera; Formicidae. The transcript is spliced from 2 exons.
UCGGCGUGCGAAGUAAUUUACGUCAAAAGUUUCCAUAAUUCCAUCCAGUACGUUGGUCGCGUGAAUGACGUUAACGAUGACGCUGCAAGUAAGGACAGUGAAACGUGUAGCGAUUGAAGGUGCUAACAAUAAGAACGUCAAUGCCACCACGGAUGGUCGAUAGCUGCCACUGGUUGGAAACACGAUGAGAUGCAAUGAGGCAUAUCUCAAUGCAUUUUUAAAUCGAAACACUCCGCGAGAUAUUUUUAGCUGCUGUGAUCGCGAUCAGCCUGGAUAUUGGCUUUGGAAUGCUUGAGACUAAUUAGCAUGUAACUCACAAUGAACAUCCGUCUCUCCUCAUGAUAUUAUCCAUUAAGACAUCAUUUCUUGAAAUGAUGUUAAGAUCACAGAUUUGUUGAUUUAAAAUUUGUGUCGAAAAUUCAACAUUUUCAAGUAAUAAUAAAUUACGCAUAUAUUAUAAUGUAAUAGGAGUUUGAUAUAUUUUUCAAUAUUUCUAUUAAAAAAUACUCGCAAAUUUUCGGCCUAUUUUCAACAUUGAGACGAGGGACUAUUUCUAACUAAGUAUGAGAAAAUAAGUGGAUUUUUUGGUGAAUUUGAACUGAUUGAAAUUAAAUAUCCAAAAGCAAAACUUUAAUUCUCUUAGACUGAUAUCUAUUGUAAAGAAAGUGAAAUUUCUAGGAGAACAUCUUUUACCAAGAGACCGAUAAAAUAUAAGAGGAAUCAUAUUUGUAUUUGUUUGAAUCAGAAACUUAAUUAUUAUGAAUGUAUAUAACAUAUGAUUUUAUAAUCGUUAGAAAGAUUUAAGCACCUGGCUCAGAAAUGAAAAUAAACAAAAUAAAGUAAUAAUUUAUGCGAUUGUUACAUUGUAUGAAAUUAAAAUCUGUAAGUAAACCUUUUCGAAUUUUUAUAGAAUCGGAAAUCGAUACAUUAUUUUUGUAGAGAAAAACAGUUGGAGCUACAGGAAACGAAUCGUUUCUGAUAUAUUUUCACAUGAAUAAUACGUCGCAAGAGUUUUCAAUGCAAUUGCUCGAUGCGUCACAAUAGCGUUUCUCAAAGAUAGAAUGAACCGUACGAGAACCAUGUCUUGUUGGUGUUGCCGGUUUAAAGGGUAUCUCCUCAUUGAUUUUACAGAGGACUUUCGAGGUCAAUGACGUAUUAUGCUCGCACAUCUCAAUGACUCUUGACAAUCAGGGACC